Molecule: ribosomal RNA, 514 nt
Filed under: Borbo fatuellus
Lineage: Eukaryota; Metazoa; Arthropoda; Insecta; Lepidoptera; Hesperiidae
Description: partial 16S ribosomal RNA
Rfam family: Bacterial large subunit ribosomal RNA (bases 387-514)
Source: RNAcentral
GUCUUUUUGUUAAUAAUUUAAAGUCGAAUCUGCCCACUGAUUUUAAAUUAAAGGGCUGCAGUAUAUUGACUGUACAAAGGUAGCAUAAUAAUUAGUCUUUUAAUUGGAGACUUGUAUGAAAGAUUUAAUGAGGUAUAAACUGUCUCUUUUUUAUAAUUUGAAUUUAAUUUUUUAGUAAAAAAGCUAAAAUUUAUUUAAAAGACGAGAAGACCCUAUAGAGUUUUAUAAUUAAUUUAAUUAUAAGUUUAUAUUUAAUUUUAAAGUUAAUUAAUUUAAUUAUUUUGUUGGGGUGAUAGAAAAAUUAAAAUAACUUUUUUUUAAAAAUAAACAUUAAUUAAUGAUUAAAUGAUCCAUUUUUUAUGAUUAUAAGAAAAAAUUACCUUAGGGAUAACAGCGUAAUUUUUUUUUUUAGUUCUCAUAAAAAAAAAAGUUUGCGACCUCGAUGUUGGAUUAAGAUAAAAUUUAAAUGCAGAAGUUUAAAAUUUUUGAUCUGUUCGAUCAUUAAAAUCUUACA